Molecule: long non-coding RNA, 1179 nt
Filed under: Prunus dulcis (almond)
Lineage: Eukaryota; Viridiplantae; Streptophyta; Magnoliopsida; Rosales; Rosaceae
Description: sRNA ncRNA
Source: RNAcentral
AUGGAUCCAGAGUUGAAGUCCAUCAUCUCUCACUUGGCCAAGUUGAAAAAGGCCAUGGCUGAAAGUGAACAACAACCCGAGGAAGCCUACGCCAUCAAAUUACAAGGUGAUGUCCCAAGAUACGUCCUUGGCCUUUUGUACCCACUUCAACCUCCAGAUGAAGUGGUGAAGAUUUGGGCCAAGCAAAGUGAUGAUCCUCCGCCUUUCGCCAUGGAGUUCGAUUGGAAAUCAACAUGGAAAUCUCUUCGACCUUUUAAAGGUUGGCCAUGCAAAACUUCUGAGGUUGACUGUGUGGCUAAGAAGAAGUCCAAAGCCAAGAAACCCAACCCAAUGGCCGAUGUUGAUCCUAAGAAAAGUUGGUAUGAUUGGUACAAAGCUUUGCAACUAAGACUGAAGACUUCUUGGCAAAAAAGUGGGAUCUAUGAUGUCUUGGCUCUUUGCACCUCCGGGGACUUUCCUUGUGAUUGUUCACUCAUCAUCGCAGGCCUAUGUUUUUGGUCAUCCUCCGUUAAUUGCAUGAGGUUAUGAUGAGGGAUGAUGACCCCUACUCUACUUGAUCUGGCUGCUAUUGCCGGCCUCCGUCCACAAGGUGUGGUUUCUUCAGCGGCCGACCUUCCAGAACCCCUUUUGAAGCCGGACUACGACAAGCCCAACAAGAAUUUCACCAACUGGAUCAAAACCCACUUUGGCUACAUCGGGUCAUCUUCUGGGGCUCCGAUAGGUUCCACAAAUGGUGUGUCUUACACGAAGCACGUAGCCUUUCUUCAGAUGUGACUAUGCAAAUUCUUGACUUGCUCAAAAUCUAGCCAAGUCACCAAAGAAGUCCAACCUUUGGCUGAGGCUCUUGCAGAUGGCCAAGCAGUGGCCUUGGUUGUUUUGCCCAAACCCAUGUCAUGCAACCCUUUAGCCCCGAUUUGGCUUUUUCAACUGUGGCUCCAAGUUUACUUCUCGGAGUUGGGUCCAGCCAACUUCACAUUUCGGGGUGACUCACUUCUAGGAAAAUCGAUUGCUAGCCUCCCCUUGCCUAAACACCAUGUUGAGGACUGCUUCAGAUUUUUCUACGGAUGUUCACAGAGGUCACCUAGUGACUUAUCCAUGUGCUUAGAUCAUCGUUACCCGGGUUAUUUGGCUUUGGACCUUGCCAGCAUCCCCACACUAGAGACUAAGGAAGAACAGUGA